RNAcentral lists this ribosomal RNA (1402 nucleotides) under Mucor chiangraiensis. RNAcentral's name for it is "partial large subunit ribosomal RNA". Lineage: Eukaryota; Fungi; Mucoromycota; Mucoromycetes; Mucorales; Mucoraceae. The record is from RNAcentral.
AACGGCGAGUGAAGAGGAAAGAGCUCAAAGUUGGAACCUGUUUGGCUUAGCUAAACCGGAUUGUAAACUGUAGAAACGUUUUCCUGAUACGCCAGACAAAUAAGUCCUUUGGAACAGGGCAUCAUAGAGGGUGAGAAUCCCGUCUUUGGUCUGAGCUGUUGUCUUUUGUGAUACGUUUUCAAAGAGUCAGGUUGUUUGGGAAUGCAGCCUAAAUUGGGUGGUAAAUCUCACCUAAAGCUAAAUAUUUGCGAGAGACCGAUAGCGAACAAGUACCSUGAGGGAAAGAUGAAAAGAACUUUGAAAAGAGAGUUAAACAGUAUGUGAAAUUGUUAAAAGGGAACCGUUUGGAGCCAGACUGGCUUGAUCGUAAUCAAUCUAGGCUUCGGCCUGGAUGCACUUGCGGUCUAUGCCUGCCAACGACAGUUCUUUCUGAAGGACAAAACUAGGAGGAAUGUGGCCCCUCGGGGUGUUAUAGCCUUUUAGAUAAUACUUUGGAUGGGACUGAGGAACGCAGUGAAUGCUUAUGGCGAGAUUGCUAGGCGCUUUCGUUAAUAGAUGUUAGAAUUUCUGCCUUGGGUGGUGCUGAUGUCUAAAGAUGAAACCCGCUUGGUUAAUUUUCUAUUCACUUAGGUCGUUGGCUUAAUGACUCUAAAUGACCCGUCUUGAAACACGGACCAAGGAGUCCACCAUUAGUGCGAGUAUUUGGGUGCCAAACCCAUAUGCGUAAGGAAACUGAUUGAUACGAAACCGCAAGGUGGCAGUAUCACCCGGCGUUGACGUUUUAUACUGAACUGACCGAGGUAAAGCACUAAUGAUGGGACCCGAAAGAUGGUGAACUAUGCCUGAAUAGGGUGAAGCCGGAGGAAACUCCGGUGGAGGCUCGUAGCGAUUCUGACGUGCAAAUCGAUCGUCAAAUUUGGGUAUAGGGGCGAAAGACUAAUCGAACCAUCUAGUAGCUGGUUCCUGCCGAAGUUUCCCUCAGGAUAGCAGAAACUUAUACGCAGUUUUAUGAGGUAAAGCGAAUGAUUAGAGGCCUUGGGGACGAAAUGUCCUUAACCUAUUCUCAAACUUUAAAUAUGUAAGACGACCUGUUUGCUUAAUUGAAGCAGGUCAUUGAAUGCAGAGUUUCUAGUGGGCCAUUUUUGGUAAGCAGAACWGGCGAUGCGGGAUGAACCGAACGGGAAGUUAAGGUGCCGGAAUACACGCUCAUCAGACACCACAAAAGGUGUUAGUUCAUCUAGACAGCAGGACGGUGGCCAUGGAAGUCGGAAUCCGCUAAGGAGUGUGUAACAACUCACCUGCCGAAUGAACUAGCCCUGAAAAUGGAUGGCGCUUAAGCGUGUUACCCAUACUUCCCCGUUAUUGUAAAAGCGAAGCAAUAACGAGUAGGCAGGCGUGGAGG